RNAcentral lists this ribosomal RNA (444 nucleotides) under uncultured bacterium. RNAcentral's name for it is "partial 16S ribosomal RNA". It matches the Rfam family "Bacterial small subunit ribosomal RNA", at positions 338 to 795 of the family's 1533-position model. The record is from RNAcentral.
CCUACGGGGGGCAGCAGUGGGGAAUAUUGCGCAAUGGGCGAAAGCCUGACGCAGCGACGCCGCGUGGGUGAUGAAGGCCUUCGGGUUGUAAAGCCCUGUCGGGUGGAACGAACGAUCUGGCGGCGAAUAACCGCCGGGUGUGACGGUACCACCGAAGGAAGCCCCGGCUAACUACGUGCCAGCAGCCGCGGUAAGACGUAGGGGGCGAGCGUUGUGCGGAUUUACUGGGCGUAAAGCCCGUUGUGACGGCCCUCGGCUUAACCGAGGUCCCGCAUCCGAUACUGUCUGGCUCGAGUCUAGGAGAGGAAAGCGGAAUUCCCAGUGUAGCGGUGAAAUGCGUAGAUAUUGGGAGGAACACCGGUGGCGAAGGCGGCUUUCCGGACUAGUACUGACGCUGAGGCGCGAAAGCUAGGGGAGCGAACGGGAUUAGAUACCCUUGUAGUC